CUCUUGCUGAAAACCAAGAAUAAGAGGUCCCGCCUGCCCUGUGACUAUAAGUUUAACGGCCGCGGUAUUUUGACCGUGCAAAGGUAGCGCAAUCACUUGUCUUUUAAAUGAAGACCUGUAUGAAUGGCACAACGAGGGCUUAGCUGUCUCCUUUUUCCAGUCAAUGAAAUUGAUCUCCCCGUGCAGAAGCGAGGAUAAAACCAU
RNAcentral lists this ribosomal RNA (204 nucleotides) under Lepomis macrochirus (bluegill). Its description in RNAcentral is "partial 16S ribosomal RNA". It matches the Rfam family "Bacterial large subunit ribosomal RNA", at positions 1820 to 2076 of the family's 2925-position model. The record is from RNAcentral. Lineage: Eukaryota; Metazoa; Chordata; Actinopteri; Centrarchiformes; Centrarchidae.